Molecule: ribosomal RNA, 253 nt
Filed under: uncultured bacterium
Lineage: Bacteria
Description: partial 16S ribosomal RNA
Rfam family: Bacterial small subunit ribosomal RNA
Source: RNAcentral
UACAGAGGGUGCAAGCGUUGCUCGGAAUUAUUGGGCGUAAGGGGCAAGUAGGUGGUCUCAUUUGUCUGGGGUGAAAGCCUUGAGCUUAACUCAAGAAGUGCCCCGGAAACGGUGAGACUCGAGUACUGGAGAGGGUCGUGGAAUUCCCGGUGUAGCGGUGAAAUGCGUAGAGAUCGGGAGGAACACCAGAGGCGAAGGCGGCGACCUGGACAGUAACUGACACUCAACUGCGAAAGCGUGGGGAGCAAACAGG